UACGUAGGUGGCAAGCGUUUGUCCGGAUUUAUUGGGUUUAAAGGGUGCGUAGGCGGUUUUUUAAGUCAGUGCUGAAAUACUCCAGCUUAACUGGAGGGGUGGCAUUGAUACUGGAAGACUUGAGUACAGAUGAGGUAGGCGGAAUUGACGGUGUAGCGGUGAAAUGCAUAGAUAUCGUCAAGAACACCGAUAGCGAAGGCAGCUUACUGGGCUGUAACUGACGCUGAUGCACGAAAAGUGUGGGGGAUCAAACAGG
This 256-nucleotide ribosomal RNA is filed under the name uncultured bacterium. RNAcentral describes it as "partial 16S ribosomal RNA". It matches the Rfam family "Bacterial small subunit ribosomal RNA", at positions 524 to 776 of the family's 1533-position model. The record is from RNAcentral.